Molecule: ribosomal RNA, 2114 nt
Filed under: human gut metagenome
Description: bacterial LSU rRNA
Rfam family: Bacterial large subunit ribosomal RNA
Source: RNAcentral
ACCGUGAUGCGUGCAUCGCGGGGUUCGGACUGCAGAAGGGAUUCAGCAACGACAGGAGAACGGCUUUGGAACAGCCGGCCAGAGAGGGUGAGAGCCCCGUAUCCAAAGUCAGAGCUGACCUGGCAGGAUCCAGAGUACCACGGGACACGGGAAACCCUGUGGGAAGGAGCGGAGACCACUCCGUAAGGCUAAAUACUACUCAGUGACCGAUAGCGUAUAGUACUGUGAAGGAAAGGUGAAAAGAACCCCGGGAGGGGAGUGAAAGAGAACCUGAAACCCUGUGUCUACAAGCUGUGGAAGUACUUCUCAGGUACGACCGCGUACUUUUUGUAGAACGGUCCGGCGAGCUGCGGGUACUGGCAAGGUUAAGUACUUAAGGUACGGAGCCGUAGGGAAACCAAGUCUUAAUAGGGCGAAUCAGUCAGUACGUGCAGGCCCGAAACCGGGUGACCUAUCCAUGUCCAGGUUGAAGCCGCCGUAAAAGGCGAUGGAGGACCGAACCCACAUCCGUUGAAAAGGGUGGGGAUGAGGUGUGGAUAGCGGAGAAAUUCCAAUCGAACCCGGAGAUAGCUGGUUCUCCUCGAAAUAGCUUUAGGGCUAGCCUCAUACAAGUCUGCCGGAGGUAGAGCACUGAAUUUCCGCGGGGGCGUCAAAGCCUACCAAAGAAUAUCAAACUCCGAAUGCCGGACAGAUGGUGUAUGGGAGUCAGACUGUACGAGAUAAGUUGGACAGUCAAAAGGGAAAGAGCCCAGACCGCCGGCUAAGGUCCCAAAGUGGGUGUUAAGUGGAAAAGGAUGUGGGAUCUCUAAGACAACCAGGAUGUUGGCUCAGAAGCAGCCAUUCAUUAAAAGAGUGCGUAACAGCUCACUGGUCGAGAGGUCCUGCGCCGAAAAUGUCCGGGGCUGAAACACCACACCGAAGCCGCGGAACUCGUAAGAGUUGGUAGAGGAGCAUUCUUAGGGGAGGGAAGCAUUACCGGAAGGGGAUGUGGACUGCUAAGAAGAGAGAAUGCCGGAAUGAGUAGCGAGAGCAAGGUGGGAAUCCUUGCGGCCGAAUAUCCAAGGUUUCCAGAGUAAAGCUGAUCUGCUCUGGGUAAGUCGGGGCCUAAGGAGAGGCAGAGAUGCGUAUCCGAUGGACAGCAGGUAAAAGAUUCCUGCACCCCUUGUUAUCAGAACUGCGGGGACACGGGAAGGGAAGCAGAGCCGGGAAUGGAAAGCCCGGUGCAAGCGAAGUAGUCGCAGGAUUGGAAAAUCCGUCCUGCAUAAGACGAAGGCGUGAUGCGGAGCGAAACAAAGUAGCGAAGCUGCGGCCCCUUCCUGUCGAGAAAAGCCGCUAUCGUGUAGCAAGGGCCCGUACCGUAAACCGACACAGGUGGAUGAGGAGAGGAUCCUAAGGCCGGCGGGAGAAGUGUUGUUAAGGAACUCGGCAAAAUGACUCCGUAACUUCGGGAGAAGGAGUGCUGCGCAAGCAGCCGCAGAGAAAUGGCCCAAGCAACUGUUUAGCAAAAACACAGGUCUAUGCGAAACCGAAAGGUGAGGUAUAUGGGCUGACGCCUGCCCGGUGCUGGAAGGUUAAGGGGAGAGGUUAGCGCAAGCGAAGCUUUGAACUUAAGCCCCAGUAAACGGCGGCCGUAACUAUAACGGUCCUAAGGUAGCGAAAUUCCUUGUCGGGUAAGUUCCGACCCGCACGAAAGGCGUAAUGAUUUGGGCACUGUCUCAACAACACACCCGGUGAAAUUGAAAUACCAGUGAAGAUGCUGGUUACCCGCGCCAGGACGGAAAGACCCCAUGGAGCUUUACUCCAGCCUGAUACUGGGAUUCGGUAUUGCAUGUACAGGAUAGGUGGGAGGCUAAGAACUUAUGGCGCCAGCCGUAAGGGAGCCAUUGUUGGGAUACCACCCCUGCAGUACUGGGUUUCUAACCUGCGCCCGUGACCCGGGCGGGGGACAAUGUCAGGCGGGGAGUUUGACUGGGGCGGUCGCCUCCGAAAGGGUAUCGGAGGCGCUCAAAGGUCUCCUCAGGAUGGUUGGAAACCAUCCAGAGAGUGCAAAGGCAGAAGGAGGCUUGACUGCGACACCGACGGGUGGAGCAGGUACGAAAGUAGGACUUAGUGAU